GUAAAUAGAAAUCUAUGAAAUUUUGACAUAAGGUUUAUGACCACAAAAGAAAGGUUGGGAUUGAUUUUGGGAGUUUUUGGUUCCAACAGUUUAGGAAUUAGGGGCCAAAAAAGGGCCCAAAUAAGCAUUAUUCUUGGUUUUCGCACAAUAACUUUAGUUUAAGUAAAUAGAAAUCAAUGAAAUUUAAACACAAUGUUUAUGACCACAAAAGGAAGGUUGGUAUUGAUUUUUGGAGUUUAGGUCCCAACAUUUUAGGAAUUAGGGGCCAAAAAGGGACCCAAAUAAGCAUUUUUCUUGGUUUUCGCACCAUAACUUUAGUAUAAGUAAAUAGAAAUCUAUGAAAUUUAAACACAAGGUUUGUGACCAUAAAAGGAAGGUUGGUAUUGAUUUUGGGAGUUUUGGUCCCAACAGUUUAGGAAUAAAGGGCCCAAAGGGUCCAGAUUUAAACUUUGUUUGAUUUUAUCAAAAAUUGAAUAAUUGGGGUUCUUUGAUAUGCCG
This 498-nucleotide long non-coding RNA is filed under the name Mytilus galloprovincialis (Mediterranean mussel). The record is from RNAcentral. Lineage: Eukaryota; Metazoa; Mollusca; Bivalvia; Mytilida; Mytilidae.